Molecule: long non-coding RNA, 3527 nt
Organism: Aethalodelphis obliquidens (Pacific white-sided dolphin)
Lineage: Eukaryota; Metazoa; Chordata; Mammalia; Artiodactyla; Delphinidae
Exons: 3
Source: RefSeq, a predicted model, not a curated record
ACAAGGGAGGGGCCACAACAGUGAGAGGCCCCCGUACCGCAAAAAUAAAAAACAAAAACAAAAACUUAAAGGGCCAUACUUGUGCUCAUAAUAACAAUCAAUAGAACUUUAGUUCUCAGAAUAGGGUUUGUAAAAUUAUUUUUAUAUAAAUGUUAUAAUUAAAUUAUUUUUACUUAAUUUUUCUCCCAAACAUAAUAUAAAUAUGAUGUUUUCUUUAAUUAUACGUGCAGUUUAUCAAUAGCAUACAAUUCCAAGAAGAUUCUAUAGUUCUUUAGAGGGUCCCAAGCAGGAUUGAGCCUGAGCUGUACAGGGUGAUAACCAUUCAAUGACACACAUUUUAUUGGCUUUCUCUCCUUGCCUGUAUCACUCUCCAUUUUCUGGGAUUACCUUCCAAAUAAGUUACAUGCACCUGAGAGUAUGUCUCCAGCUCUGCUUUCAGGGGAAACUAAGCUAAGACAGACAUUGGAAUGUACAGCCAGCCACACAAUAUAUAACUAGGCCCUUCGGGCUGACUUUCCCUUGCCUUCUACUACGAGGGGUGUGGACACUGUCAUCAAUAAAUGAAGCUUGGUCACAUCUUUCUGAACUGCAGUCCCCGUUGUUAGAAAGACAGCAUGUAAUGGGGACAGUGUCAUCUCCAGGCAGUGGAUGCCUCCGGUCCAUGAAUUCUCUAGACCCCUCCCAUCCUGCCCCCUUCCACACAUUCCUGAAUGUAUCGGUCACAUUAAAUCAAUGAGACUAACUGAGCUGCUCCUUCCUUAUUCCACUGUUUCUCUGACAUCACCCAGGAAAUUACUGGAACCUUUGGUCUUAGCUGUCCCUCAACUGUGGUGCCGUCUCAACCAGUGUCUGCCAGGCUAGUAAUUCGUUUUCAGUAGAGAAGUAGCAAGCAGCUACGUUCGGUAAUUUUAGGGGCCAAGAGCCUCAAUCCUUAAGCCAAUCCUGAUAUACGUCAGAGACCAUCUCAUUAGAGCAUUUAUUGCACCCAAUCAAUCUUGUGGUGCGAUAAACAAGACCGAGCAGAGCACAGCAUAGAAUACCAAGCAUGAACACUGUCUUUUUUUUUUUCUUUUUAAUCACCUGUAGCCUUUCAGGCCAACAUAUGCUUCUCUGAACUGAGAGCUUCGGAAGUAGCAUAAAUGUUAGCUGCAAGCAUCUCUGGGACUUAUGCUCACAGGCCUUUAGAUUGCCAAUAAAGGCGAUCUUGUAGCGACAUUCUUAAAAGUCUAGUGAUUUUUGGCUCUCUGUUCUUAUUUAAGAGAGAAACACCAAAAAUGGCUUGGAAAGUUGGCCAGGAUGUUAACUAGUGGCUUCACUGUACAGUUUACUGUAGAUCUGUACUCAGGCCUUACUUUGUAGAUGCCAAAAUGUUAGCGUCUGUAGGGUUUUUUUCUCUUGGGCUAGUUUUCUGUUUGUUUGUACUGUUGUUAUUGUUCUGUAUUUCAGGAGAGGGUGUAAGCCUGGCUGCUAUUAUUCUAGGAGCUGAGUAAGGGCAGGGGACUAAAGUUCUCACAACUCAGUAUGUAAAAUUUAACUCUACCUCCCUAUUUUACCUUUUGUCUUUCUUCCCUGAAAUAUUCCUGAGGCUAGAGCUCUGUUUCGAUUUUUCCAGUGAGAAUACCUGGAAUGUCUUCCUCUGUUGCGGUGGGAAAGGUUUAGGUGCCUGGCUAUGCAAUGUUAGGGCUGGCAUCUAGAGAGCUAGCUGCUUUUUAUUAGACUUUCAACUAAUCUUGUUUUUAAUCCACACCCCAUUCAAAGUGACAGGUGCCUCCAAUUCUGCAGCCGUUCUUGUCUUGCUUUAUGGCUUUUCCGAGUGCAGAUGCUUAAAUUUCAGCUUUCUCUGCUUUUUUAAGUUUCCACUUGUCCACCUGCUUGCCAUUUUCCAAGUUGUAUUCUAGCAGCAAAUCACCUAUCUGAAAAGACUACCUAUCUCAGCCUCCUUUGCAUAUAGUUCUGGCCAAAGGGGAAAUGCUAUGAGAAACAUCAGGAAUGGCCCCUUAACAGGAUUUGAUUCGGCUGUGGAGCACAUCCUUUUAUCCUUCUCUUCUCCCUUCCUCCUACUGCCUGGAAUGUGGACAUGAUAGCUAGAACGCCAGCAAUUAUCCUGAACUCAUGAGGGAACCUUGAGGAAGGAAGCCACAUACUGAGGAUGACAGAGCAGAAAUAUAGGAGCCUUGGUCCCUGGUGGCUGUGGAGUUACCCCAGACUAACGGCGGACUUCUUUUAUACUAACAGUAAUUCUGAUAAAUUCUAUCAUGUACAAUUUCCUUCAAAAGAGAGGGAAAGACUAUGAUACAUUGAUAAUUGUGUACAUUGCAUUACUGAGUAUGUUGCCGACAGAACAGAACUUCCUUUCUGACCAGGAGGAUAAAAAUAGACUUCUCUCUCCCUAACAAUUUUACAUAUCUAGUGAUUGGAAGAAUUUCCAAUAGACUGACUCAUACCUCCUUUCCUUUUAGUCUUUGUAUAUAUGGUGCCAUCCACUGCAGGAUGAAGUCACAUUGCAGUGUAACCUCUGGCCCUGCACCUUUACAUGACAGGAUCCCAGAUCUCGGCAUGGUCAAGUGUUCCUGGAGAAAGAAACUGACCUCUUGGCAACAACAACUCUUGGGUAAAAUUAUAAACUAAUUUUGGACAAGAAAAAAAACAAGAGCAUCAAUUGCUGCCAUUUGAGAUGGAAGGUCAUUUGAGGACAAAGUGAGAAAAUGGCUGUCUGCAAGCCAGGAAGAGAGGCCUCACCAAAUACCAAUCCUGACAGCAACUUGAUCUUGGACUUCUAGCCUCCAGAGCAGUGAGUAAAUAAAUUUCUGUUGUUCAAGCUACCUAGGCUCUGGUAUUUUGUUAUGGCAGCCUGGGCAGACUAAUAUAGUAGAUAAAGGCACAGUACAGACAUAAAAGGGCUGUACAUUUUAUAAAAUUCUGAAUCUGCAGAUUGGCAAGGUCUGAUGUGAUGCACAGUGUGGAGAUGGCAGCACCAGAUUCACCCUGGAAAGCAUCAAAAUACCACUUUCGAACAGAGGCGAUAUUUCCAGUUAAAACAUUACAACAUAAGUAAUUUGAUGGUGGUGAUGCAUCGACUUCAUUCAGCUGGCCACUAAAUUACAGAUGCUAACAGUAUUUCAAGAACUGCAGAAGAGACUGGGGACUUGCAAUUUCUAUUGUUGUUGAUAUUUCGAUUACUGUAGAAAUUCUAUUAUUUUCUUUCAAAGCACUUUGGAUGCCUGGACUUUUGCAAAUGGAGAGAUGCAAGGCAAGGGCUUGAUACUCUUAUAAUUAACAUUUUUGAGCGCUUACAUGAUUAUACAUGGCAGGCCCUGUUACAUAAACUGACUUUGUUUAAUUCAGAUAACAACCUACCUGUGAGAUUGCUAUAUAGGGACCAUUACUUCCAUUUUACAGAUGAGGAAAUGUUUACGAUGUAUUACAUUUAAAGAUCAGAGGGACUUCCCUAGUGGUGCAGUGGUAAAGAAUCUGCCUGCCAAUGCAGGGGACACGGGUUCGAGCCCUGGUCUGGGAAGAUCCCACAU